AUUGAACGCUGGCGGCAUGCUUUACACAUGCAAGUCGAACGGCAGCGCGGGCUUCGGCCUGGCGGCGAGUGGCGAACGGGUGAGUAAUGCAUCGGAACGUGCCCAGUAGUGGGGGAUAGCGCGGCGAAAGCCGGAUUAAUACCGCAUACGACCUGAGGGUGAAAGCGGGGGACCGUAAGACCUCGCGCUAUUGGAGCGGCCGAUGUCGGAUUAGCUAGUUGGUGGGGUAAAGGCUUACCAAGGCGACGAUCCGUAGCUGGUCUGAGAGGACGACCAGCCACACUGGGACUGAGACACGGCCCAGACUCCUACGGGAGGCAGCAGUGGGGAAUUUUGGACAAUGGGGGCAACCCUGAUCCAGCCAUGCCGCGUGCGGGAAGAAGGCCUUCGGGUUGUAAACCGCUUUUGUUCGGGAAGAAAGCCUGUGGGCUAAUACCCCGGGGGGAUGACGUUACCGGAAGAAUAAGCACCGGCUAACUACGUG
Molecule: ribosomal RNA, 484 nt
Filed under: uncultured bacterium
Lineage: Bacteria
Description: partial 16S ribosomal RNA
Rfam family: Bacterial small subunit ribosomal RNA
Source: RNAcentral